ACACUGCUACUUACAGUUAGUUUUGCAGGUUUGCAUUUCAGCGUAUAUAUUUAUAUAUGGCUGUGCAAAUCCAUGCAAAACUGACUGUGAUAAUGU
Molecule: microRNA precursor, 96 nt
Organism: Vicugna pacos (alpaca)
Lineage: Eukaryota; Metazoa; Chordata; Mammalia; Artiodactyla; Camelidae
Source: Ensembl